RNAcentral lists this long non-coding RNA (746 nucleotides) under Helianthus annuus (common sunflower). RNAcentral's name for it is "hypothetical non coding rna". Lineage: Eukaryota; Viridiplantae; Streptophyta; Magnoliopsida; Asterales; Asteraceae. The record is from RNAcentral.
GAUGCGCACACCUCCAACAAAACCUCACAAGCCUCCGCCUAAUCAGAACUCCAAAAUCUCGCCGGAAAUCAAAUCGUCAUCAUCUCGGUCGUUUUCAGUCAUUCAGAUCUAGGAUUUACGGAGAUGCCGCAAGGGAAGUGGUUGUGGUGUGGUUAAAUCUUCAAGGCGAAGAUACCACAGCUCCAGAUUCUUAAAGUUUGCAAGUAUCAGCCAUCUCAUAAUCGGGAUUUGGAUCAUCUUCGGAAGCUCCAUGAUCGCUGCUGACAUUGAUAACCUCUUCCCAAUUCCAGGUGGCAAGAGACUCUAACCUUUUGUUUAGCUUGUCACACUUUCGUUUCUAAGAUAACAACAAUUUAAAAAAAUAAUGUGGACAUAAAAAAUAAAAUAUAUUACACUGCUAAAAUUCAGAUUUACCUGCUCACUGAUUUCACGUAGAAUUUCUGAAGCGGUUGGACUUGGCUCUCCAUCACAUUUAAUUAUCUCAACUCUUUUUAUAGGUUUCUACAAAAUCAAAGUACAUCAUUAGAUAUCACUUUUACAGAAUUUCUUAAUAUGUUUACUUACAUGUGAUUCGAGGUGUUGCUGCUCUUCGACUUCUUCGGUUUUGGGAUCAUCUUUUUCAACUUGCAAUUUUGAGAGAAAGAAUGGUAUCAUUUCAUGGCAGCAAACUUGCAACACAAUGUUUAGCUUUCAAUAAAGUUUUAUACUUUUUACUGUUUUAUUUUUUAUAAAAUAACCCGUUGUAA